GGACUCCUUCUGUCAUGUCUGUGUAGUCUGCUUCCUUCAAUUUUGAACUUGAAGAAUCUGGCAGAAUUUGGACUGGAUAGUGGAUAAAGAUAAUUAAAUUCCAGAAUAUCUAGUGAUCUGGAACAGUACUUAUAAGCUGCAUAUUUAGGACCUACAAUCUACAGUGGAAUUUUCUUUGCACUUGCAGAUAAUCGGUAACUGCAACCAUUGAUCCCCUCCGAAAGAUCCCGGAGUCAGCUUCUGUGCGCGUACAGUCCGACGCUAGUAUAUUCGUGUACUAAGAAAAGAAGGCUAAACUACACCAAAGAGGAGCAGUGCAGCUGGUGGAAUUCGUAAAGAGACGAAAAGGGGACCUGUUCGGGAAGGCAGGGUAUUGUGGAGUGAAGGUUGAGCAGAGAAAGCAGAAUACCUGGCAGGAACUUGCCACCAAAUUGAGGAGCUGUGGGGUCCACAAAGGGACUGGAGAGAGCUUAAGAAGAAGUGGCAGGAGCUGAAGAGUCUGUGAGCUUAUCUCUGAGGAGGACCCCCAAAGUCUAUUGAUUUUAUUUCUGAAAAGGUGUUGGAAGCAGUAGCAACCGAAGUGAGGGAGGGGCUGGCUCCCAGAAUGAAGCUGGGUUGGGUGAAUGCACAAGCUCCCAGGAUUUGGAGGUUGCUGCCCUAGCCGAAGACACGAACCAGAACAUGGACAAUGAUGAAGAAGACUUGGACUUGGGAGAUGAUAUUGGGGAUAUUCAGGUUCUUGAGAACUUGGACACAGUGACACAACUUGUUACUUGUCCCCCCGAUGUUAUCCAUGCUGACCUGUUGAGAAUCAGCGGUCAGUUAGAUACAAUAAUAGAUCUUGUCAUGAGACAGCGGGGAGGCAAGGAACAAUAAUGGUCCACUGUAUUCAGGUUCUCUCUUUACUAUUUUUAAGUAUUUAAAGCUGCCUUUUUAGGGUCAGCCCAUGUCAUUUCAACUCAGCCUGUAUUCAAUUCAAUACUUAAGUCUUUUUGAAUAAUUUAAUUGAAAAAAAGGGUAAAUAAAAUAAUUUCGAAUGUAUUGGCAGGUAAUUUUUUUGUGUGUGUUUGCAGUCAUCCUGAGUUGUGAAGAAUUGGGUUGUAGUGCUUUUGGUGAACGUAUUAAGUGCACAAAGUUGGUGAUGUCACAUUGUUCAGCAUGUUUGGUUUAUAUAUUUUGUUACAAAAGUAAACCAAUGUUGACCUAAAUGAAAAAUAAGCAUAUUUCUUAGCAGUGUAAAAUACAUCAUAAAAUCUUUGUAGAAUCUAAGUUUUGAAUUGCAUACCAGCCCUGAUGACACUUUAUCCCUCAACUUUGCCCAAAGUCCACUAAAAAUCCUAUCGUAUUAGAACGAUAUAUAUUAUGCUCACAAUGAGAACCACUAAUGACCUGGUGAAACGAAAACAAGUUUCUUCAGAGAUUUAUUCAGGAUUAGAACUUGAAGAAGUGACAAUGAAUGAGCUUAAGACAGUGGAUAUUCAAAUUUGCAAUUUCUCCAACUAUCAAUCCCCAAGAAUCAACUAACAAUAGGCAUAAUAUACCAGGCAAUAUUAUGUUUGCUUCAGUUUACAAAGAAAAAGUUAACAAUAAAGAAUUGUGUUUUGAGCAUAGGGUGUAUAUAGUUUCAUUAAUGAACAAAAUUGCUAAUUGUCAUUUAAAUUUCAUUAAAUUUAUCAGCUAGAAGGAUGGUCAAAUACUUGAAAUUCUAGAUCUAUAAAUAUUAUAUGUGACCAGCCACCAAAAAUCAACAAGUCUCCCAGAAUAAAUUUUGAUGUUUUCAUUGAGAUUGAAAAGCAUAGCCUAAACUUUGAUAUGAUAUAUAACUUGUCAAAAUUGAUCAAGAAUAACCCUUACAAGUACUUGAUUGAAAGCAGAUGAAAUUAAGCGAGAGCUUUAAAAAAUAUGGAGAAAAUAAGGUUUGAAGUUUGUGGUUCACUCAAGCAUGAGAUGUGCACACUCUGCAAUUUAAAUGAAACUUCAAAGCAGUCUGCAAAAAAUUGUGUUAGAUAAAAUUUUGUAUCUUGUUUUCUAGCCAACUUCAAAGCUUCAGCCUUUGACAGUAUGAAGAAGAAGAUCUACCCUUUCUAAUUAACUUUUUUUUUCAUUUUGAAGACCAAAUGAUUAUUUUAUACUAUACUAUUCAAAGAGAACCUUCAAUGACGUUGAUCUUUGGGUGGCUUGUCACAUAUGGUCUAAAUAAGAAUGUUUAUGUAUCCACUAAGAUAAAUCUCCAAGGCCGUUAAAUAAUGACAACUUUAUAAAUGGUUCCAUUCAUAAUGCAACAUGAACAUUUCAGGUGAAUUGACAUGGACUUACUCUUUUCACAUAUAACAAAAAAGUAACUCUCCCCCUUUUCAAAGUACAUAAACAUUUAGAUGAAUUGAUUUCAUGCAAAUCGUUUUGCAGCAGUACCAUUUUGGCUAAUAUUUUGAAGAAAAAAAAAAUUGAUCAAUCAAGUCAUACAUGAGUGAGAACACAUUGUGGGAUAAUUUUUUUUUUCAAAGUAACAAUUUUCAGUUGAAUAAAGAGGAAGGGGAGCUACUUUUUUGUUAUUCAUAUCUCCAUCUUUUUCUGUCAUAACAGGUUUUGAAUAAAAGGUGCAUUUUGAAUAUUAAUUCCUGUAAAUAUGAAAUUUUGAAAAAGUAUUCACACACUUUAACAAAAGAGAGAAACUGUGCAAUUUAAAUUCUUAAAUUCCAUUGUAUUUAUUAAUGCUAAUGUAUCUAAGAAUAUAUGAAGAAGUUUAUACAACUAUAUACAGAUCAAUUAUUAUAGAUAUAUUCAAUAAUUUCAUUACUUAUGAUACAUUGAAUUCAAGUGCCUUUAAUUUAUCAAAUCUGUUGGCAAGUCAUAUUUAUAUGAUGUAUAUAGAAUAUAGUUAUAUACAAUUAUCUAAAAAAAUGACAUUUACUUGGUAAUUUUAUUUAUUUAAUGUACAUAUUCUUCUUUAUGUCUAUGAGAAUACAUUUGUUCAUUUGUGUUUAAAAUAGAAAUAGUUAUACCUUGAUGGAAUUAUUCAAUUGUCAAUAAAUAGUCUGACAUG
This is a long non-coding RNA of Lytechinus pictus (painted urchin), 3043 nucleotides long. RefSeq lists it as uncharacterized. The record is from RefSeq and is a predicted model, not a curated record. NCBI's taxonomy places the organism in Eukaryota, Metazoa, Echinodermata, Echinoidea, Temnopleuroida, Toxopneustidae. The transcript is spliced from 5 exons.